AGGACGAACGCUGGCGGCGUGCUUAACACAUGCAAGUCGAGCGGAAAGGCCCUUCGGGGUACUCGAGCGGCGAACGGGUGAGUAACACGUGAGCAACCUGCCCUUAGCUUCGGGAUAGCUCCGGGAAACCGGAAUUAAUACCGAAUAUGAUUUUUGCUGACAUCAGCAGAAGUGGAAAGUUUUUCGGCUAGGGAUGGGCUCGCGGCCUAUCAGCUAGUUGGUGAGGUAACGGCCCACCAAGGCGACGACGGGUA
Molecule: ribosomal RNA, 254 nt
Filed under: uncultured bacterium
Lineage: Bacteria
Description: partial small subunit ribosomal RNA
Rfam family: Bacterial small subunit ribosomal RNA
Source: RNAcentral